AUUAAUUAUUUUGGCAGAUUAGUGCAAUGAAUUUAGAAUUCAUAUAUGUAAUUUUUUACAAAUA
Molecule: transfer RNA, 64 nt
Filed under: Pogonistes convexicollis
Lineage: Eukaryota; Metazoa; Arthropoda; Insecta; Coleoptera; Carabidae
Also listed under: 3 other names
Description: tRNA-Leu
Source: RNAcentral